UCCCUGGAGGACUAGUGGUUAGGCCUCGGCACUCUCACUGUUACAGCCCAGGUUGGAUUCCCGGCCAGGGAA
This 72-nucleotide transfer RNA is filed under the name Pangasius djambal. RNAcentral describes it as "tRNA-Glu". It matches the Rfam family "tRNA". From Rfam's summary of the family: Transfer RNA (tRNA) molecules are approximately 80 nucleotides in length. Lineage: Eukaryota; Metazoa; Chordata; Actinopteri; Siluriformes; Pangasiidae. The record is from RNAcentral.